GCGUGGAACCAGGAGUCUGCUUCUGAUUUGAUGUCUCUUAUCAAGCUGUUUAAUCUUUCUGUACCUUACAUUCAAGACGAAAAUACCCAUCUCAGGUUUUUUUGUGAUGAUUGAAUACAGUAAUGCAUGUGAAAGUGCCUGAUAAAUGAUGACGCAACUGAGGCCUAGAAAUAACUGCCAAUGUAACAAAUCCAGACCCUGGCAGGAUAUGCAUUUGAACCAAGGCUAUCCGGCUCCAAAAAAGAAUUAACUUUGCGGAAGGACUCUUACAUUCUCCAGUGAAACCUUUACUCUGGGAGCAAUUUGACUGAGUCAUAGCUGAGUUCAUUAAGCCUUAGUGCCUCAGGGAUGCAGCUGAGGACUCAAUGGCAGGUUUUCAGGGAUGUAAACCAUUGUGUGGACAAUAAAAUAGAGAACACUAAGGCUGUGGAAAUUUAUCUCCCUGUGAAGCUUGCCUUUUGGCUUUUUCCGAAGGAGAAUAUCCCCAGUUCACUUGUAGCACUGCUCAGUAUCCAGGAGGGCUUGUUAUGUAAUCCCAUCCUGUUUGAAGCUUCUUGAGCUUCAGUAAUCUCAGUUCCCUGUGAAGCACCAGACACAGGAGGACUAUUUUAUAUCAGCUUUAAAAAUACGGGAAAAAUAUUGGAUGCAUAUUCCUUGAACUUAGAAACUAUGAGUCUAAGGUCAUAGCUGGGGAGAGAUUGAUCUGAUUAUAAUAAGAUCUGUGACUUAGUAGUGGAGGAGUUGGUUCUAACCUGGCAAGGCACAACCCACCCACAUGAUCUUCUGUAAAUCUUCUAGGGUAGCGUCAACCAGCAACCUUUGCCAGUGUAUGAUAGCUAAGGGUUUGCUUUUUAGACUUUAUUAAAAGUCCAGCUAGAGAAAUAAUUCUGAAAAUAAUUUGCAAUACAUUGUUCAUUUACUUCUGGGAUCUAAGUUUUAUUGUGGGCUUAGGUCAGUCCACUAGGAGACAACAUUUUUGCCAAUUUGCCAGAUUGCCUUUAUGUGAUUGUGUUUUACUUAUCCUCAGAGUUUAAGAUGUCAGACCUGGGAUCCAGCCCCAACUCUGUCAAUUAUGGGCUGUGGGAUGUUGGGAGAGCGGCUUAAUCAAUUUAAGCUUCCAUUUCUGAAUUUGGAAAAUGUGAUAGUAAAUACUUCAUAGAGCUUUUGUAAGAUUUUAAUGGUCUAGCUCAUGCAAAAAAAAAAAAAAAAAAAAAAGGCCCUGUAGCUUAAAAAUAGUUUGUGGCUUAAAAUUUGUAGCUUUUAAAAAAAGCCAUAUGAAAUUCAUUUUGGUGUAUUUGCUGUAAAAUCUGUUGUAAAAAUCUGUUGUUGAGGUAAUUGCCAAUUUUCAAUGUAUCCUAUAAAGAAUUCCAUUUAGGUUUUACAACCAAGUUAAGAAGAACUCUGCUUCUCUGAGAAAAUGGCAUUUUCUCCCUCCAGUAAUAAGAGUGUGCUAAUUUCCCAUGUUUCCCUUUUUGUUCUGGAGGCAGAGAAACUCAGGAUAAUAUUUGUACUUCAUGUAUAUCAGCUUGCCUGUUUGGAUUAUCCACUUUCUUCUCUUCUUUUUUGUGGUUGUGAUUUUAAAAUUUCUAUUUGACUACCAUCAUUGUAUAAAUGUCUUAUUUUAAGCCAUCUUGAAUGUUUUUGGACAGAGGAGCUGAACUAAGUAAAAA
RNAcentral lists this long non-coding RNA (1670 nucleotides) under Homo sapiens (human). Its description in RNAcentral is "HSALNT0134311". Lineage: Eukaryota; Metazoa; Chordata; Mammalia; Primates; Hominidae. The record is from RNAcentral.